RNAcentral lists this ribosomal RNA (245 nucleotides) under uncultured bacterium. RNAcentral's name for it is "partial 16S ribosomal RNA". It matches the Rfam family "Bacterial small subunit ribosomal RNA", at positions 524 to 768 of the family's 1533-position model. The record is from RNAcentral.
UACAGAGGCGGCAAGCGUUGUUCGGAUUUACUGGGCGUAAAGGGUGCGUAGGUGGUGCGAUGUGUCGGGCGUGAAAUCCCACGGCUCAACUGUGGAACUGCGUCCGAAACUGUCGCGCUAGAGUGCAGAAGAGGAGAGCGGAAUUCUUGGUGUAGCGGUGAAAUGCGUUGAUAUCAAGAAGAACGCCGGUGGCGUAGGCGGCUCUCUGGGAUGCAACUGACACUGAGGCACGAAAGCUGGGGGAG